AGAGUUUGAUCAUGGCUCAGAACGUACGCUGGCGGCACGCCUAACACAUGCAAGUCGAACGAAGUAGCAAUACUUAGUGGCAGACGGGUGAGUAACAUGUAGGUAUCUGCCCUUUGGCCUGGAAUAACACGAGGAAACUUGUGCUAAUACUGGAUAAGUCUUAACGGAGAAAGCUUUAUGCACCAUUGGAUGAGCCUGCACUUGAUUAGUUUGUUGGUGGGGUAAUGGCCUACCAAGACUGUGAUCAAUAGCUGAUUUGAGAGGAUGAUCAGCCACAUUGGGACUGAGACACGGCCCAAACUCCUACGGGAGGCAGCAGUGGGGAAUCUUGCACAAUGGAGGAAACUCUGAUGCAGCGAUGCCGCGUGAGUGAAGAAGGCCCUUGGGUUGUAAAGCUCUUUCGUCGGGGAAGAAAAUGACUGUACCCGAAUAAGAAGGUCCGGCUAACUUCGUGCCAGCAGCCGCGGUAAUACGAAGGGACCUAGCGUAGUUCGGAAUUACUGGGCUUAAAGAGUUCGUAGGUGGUUGAAAAAGUUGGUGGUGAAAUCCCAGAGCUUAACUCUGGAACUGCCAUCAAAACUUUUCAGCUUGAGUAUGAUAGAGGAAAGCAGAAUUUCUAGUGUAGAGGUGAAAUUCGUAGAUAUUAGAAAGAAUACCAAUUGCGAAGCAGCUUUCUGGAUCAUUACUGACACUGAGGAACGAAAGCAUGGGUAGCGAAGAGGAUUAGAUACCCUCGUAGUCCAUGCCGUAAACGAUGUGUGUUAGACGUUGGAAAUUUAUUUUCAGUGUCGCAGCGAAAGCGAUAAACACACCGCCUGGGGAGUACGACCGCAAGGUUAAAACUCAAAUGAAUUGACGGGACCCGC
This 866-nucleotide ribosomal RNA is filed under the name marine metagenome. RNAcentral describes it as "bacterial SSU rRNA". It matches the Rfam family "Bacterial small subunit ribosomal RNA", at positions 8 to 924 of the family's 1533-position model. The record is from RNAcentral.